UGGCUAAGAUGUGAGUACCCCUAGUAAAGAAUAAAGAAUAAAGAAUAAAGAAUGGUUAAUGCUAAAGUAUAGCAAUAAUAAAGAAUGGCUAAGAAUUAAGAACGGCUAGUAAUAAGAAAUGGCUAGCGUUAGAGAACGGCUAGCGAUAAAGAGCGGCUAAUAAUAAAGAAUGUCAAAGAAUAAAGAAUUGCAAGUAGAAAAGAUUGACAAAUGAUAAAGAAUUGCUAAUAAUAUAAUGAAUGGCAAAUGAUAGAGAGUAGAACCAAUUAAUCUACUUGCAUGAGUUGCAUGAUUUGCAUAUUGCAUAUUGUGAGGCAUGAACAUGAUAAUUGUUAGUUGCAUAAAUUAUAUAUCUGUGGAUAUUUGUUGGACUAAUAUGUUGCAGUGCCUCCUUUGGACCUGGUGGGUCGAGCUUUUUCCUUGGGUGGCCGUACUCACUAGUAACUAUGGACAAUAGUUCUCACCCCUGUGUUGUUUUUGGAGGUACAAGUUCACACGUGAGCGGCGCGGCGGCGUAAGGAAAGGGCGUAGCUCCGUAGUUAGCGCCCUACCACCGAGACCAGAGAUAGCAGUAUCCUGAGUCAGCUACUUAGGGAUGUAAAAGAAAUGAAAAGAACAAUGUUGUAAUAAUCAUGUUUAAUCGGAUUGUAUUCGGAAGCUAGAAAGAGUAAAUGAGAAUUGAAAAUGUAAUUUGUAAAAUGUAUGUGAGUUGAAUGCUUGUAAUAGCGUAGUAAUUAUGUUUUCAAUACCUUCCUUAUGCAAUCUAUAUUUG
RNAcentral lists this long non-coding RNA (772 nucleotides) under Ananas comosus (pineapple). RNAcentral describes it as "long non-coding RNA (ACOM_LNC001942)". The record is from RNAcentral. Lineage: Eukaryota; Viridiplantae; Streptophyta; Magnoliopsida; Poales; Bromeliaceae.